This is a long non-coding RNA of Lycium ferocissimum, 2261 nucleotides long. RefSeq lists it as uncharacterized. The transcript is spliced from 3 exons. Lineage: Eukaryota; Viridiplantae; Streptophyta; Magnoliopsida; Solanales; Solanaceae. The record is from RefSeq and is a predicted model, not a curated record.
AGUGGUUUUUUAGUUUCCCGCUGCAGAGAAACAGGGAAAUGGUAGCUUCUGUGUAAGCACUUCCUAAAUUAGUAGAUUCCGCUAUUUGGGCUUGGCAAACCUUGGAUGGUAUGUGAUUUGAGACUUCCCUAUCACAUGCAACAGUUCUUUUGCAGCCAUGGCGUGGUAUCCUUCUCUUUGCCCCUUUAGAAAUGCAGACUAAGCCUUAAUAUUGCAGGUCCCUCUGAACAUUGUUUGGUGGAAACCCAUUUUCAUUUCUGUUUUAUUCAGCUCAUAGAAAGGCAUCAAUGGGAAAUAGGAAUUACUUAUUCAUUUAUGUUGGUAACACUAGGAUUCUCAAGUGAGUGUUGUUUUACUUCAUAACUGAUUAUUUCGUGACUAUUCAUUUAUGAAUCCAACCAAAUAUGUUUUUAGUCUUUGAUGUUGUAAAAUUCACUAUUAAAGGCAGUAAUACUGUAAUGUGAAAAAAAAACAAGGGAAAAGAAAAUAAGCUUUCCUUGGGGGUGGAGAAAAGAGUCAACACAUUAUAUUGUGACUCCAGGCGAGGUUAGUAAUAAAAGGCAUUAUGAAAUGGCUUGUUUAUGCACUUAGCGAGCUCAUUUCUAUUGCGAGAUAAUAAAAGAAGACUUUUUAAUGGUAUUUAACAAUUGUUAAUCUCCAUUGUCAUCUACUUUACCUGUGUUGCUCUCAAGUCAAUAAAAUAGGACGGGUGAUUUAUCAGUUCUACAUUAUUUUGAUAUGGAAUUAUUUUGUUAGUGUACUAUUUGAAUUUGUCUCUGCUCGACGCUGGUUGAGGCUUAUCUAUAAUAUGCUGUCCAAUUUUGUUGAUGCAUUUCCUAAUAUUUGGUUGCAGGUCCCCGAUUUCAUCCUAUGUGGUAUAUAUAAGCUCAGUUUAAUAAAUAUAUCAAAUUAUAGCAAAGAAUAUUGGAAGGAUGGAGUACAAUUAAUGUCCUGUUUCACGGGUAUGGUCAAUAUGACAUAUUGGAGACCAUUUCAGAGAAGGUUCACCAGAAGUUAGAAGAAUAAAAAGCAGAGUAUGAUGCACUUAGACAUAUAGUCUUUAUUAAAUUUUAAUAAAGGUAGUUAGCAAGGACGAUCAACUUAUAUAAUAAGAAGUUCAGCUAUCCUGUUAACAGAGAUAUCACAUCUUGCUCUUGACAAUAGUUUGUUAUAUGUGGUUUUCUUAAAGUUAGCUGCUUUUGGCUCAAUAUGAUAAAGUUCUGCUGGAGGUCAUUACUAUUUCUGAGUACUAGCUAGACUACUAAUCUGGGCUAUGUUACAAGUAUAGCUUAUCAAGUGAGAAGGAGCUCACAUUUCUCAUGGAUAUGUAGUGAUCCUGCAUAAGUUAUUCAUCAAAAAGUUAUAGGACGUCUCUUAUGACACUAAUAAUCUUUACAAUUUCCUUUUUAACACAUCUUUUGGUCUACUGAUCUGGGUAUAAGGAAGCAAUUUGAAAUCCUUUUAGCUGGCCAUGGUAGUUCCAAAAGAAGUGAAGAUUGGGCCUAAAGUAAUCAAGAAGCUGGAGAUUUCAUCUUUAUGCAACAACACGAAGACAAGUAAGUACAUUUUUGGGUGAACUCAAUGGCAUUGUCAGGAAACUCCAAUUUGGUAGCAGACACAAGAAAGGAAAGAUAACCAAGUCAACUCUUUGUCGAGGGCCAAGUUCGUAAGCAUAUAAUUCCUUCAUUUGACAUUUUCUUGACAGGUAGCUAUUUUUUUUGUAAGACAUGGAGGAAAUGUGGUUGCCGAGGACAAGAAAGGAUGAAGGUUGCUUGAACAAGCUUCAUAUUAGCCUUGGCUCAGCAUUAGUUGAUGAUGAGAAGGCAUUAAUGCUGGUAAAACAAUGCCGGAUGUAAAGCUACCUUUGAUGUCAUUAGCCAAUUGAUAUAUUCAAGGCUUAUUCUGUAAAUGGUUGAUGUGAGGUGUUCUCAAAUUUGUGAAAUUGGCGACCAACUGCCCAAACGUCAAAUAGGAAUGAGAAACUCCAACCAGUUUUCUUGAAAAUGUUUGCUCCUGAUGUUUCUUUAGUUCCUUGGUAAUUUUUAUAGGCUGGUUAGAGUUAGACUAACUUUGAGAUAAAUUCUAUGAAUUUCUUUUAUGGGAGAAGAGUUCUUCCAAAUUUAGCUUAGAGUUAGGAUUGGAGAGGUGACCUAAGUCAACUUUUUAAGACAUUCUUGGAUGGUAAUAUUGGCAUAGAUGAUUCUUGCUUCCUUUAUACUCCACAUGUCCAUCUUUGCUUUUGUAGAAAAAAAUUUAAAUUU